GACGAACGCUGGCGGCGUGCUUAACACAUGCAAGUCGAACGGAAAGGCCCUGCUUUUGUGUGGUGCUCGAGUGGCGAACGGGUGAGUAACACGUGAGUAACCUGCCCUUGACUUUGGGAUAACUUCAGGAAACUGGGGCUAAUACCGGAUAGGAGCUCCUGCUGCAUGGUGGGGGUUGGAAAGUUUCGGCGGUAGGGGCUGGACUCGCGGGUUAUCAGCUUGUUGGUGGGGUAGUGGCUUACCAAGGCUUUGACGGGUAGCCGGCCUGAGAGGGUGACCGGGCACCUUGGGACUGAGAUACGGACCAGACUCCUACGGGAGGCAGCAGUGGGGAAUAUUGCACAAUGGGCGGAAGCCUGAUGCAGAAACGCCGCGUGCGGGAUGACGGCCUUCGGGUUGUAAACCGCUUUCGCCUGUGACGAAGCGUGAGUGACGGUAAUGGGUAAAGAAGCACCGGCUAACUACGUG
This 468-nucleotide ribosomal RNA is filed under the name uncultured bacterium. Its description in RNAcentral is "partial 16S ribosomal RNA". It matches the Rfam family "Bacterial small subunit ribosomal RNA", at positions 28 to 507 of the family's 1533-position model. The record is from RNAcentral.